RNAcentral lists this ribosomal RNA (253 nucleotides) under uncultured bacterium. RNAcentral describes it as "partial 16S ribosomal RNA". It matches the Rfam family "Bacterial small subunit ribosomal RNA", at positions 524 to 776 of the family's 1533-position model. The record is from RNAcentral.
UACGGAGGGUGCAAACGUUGCUCGGAAUCAUUGGGCGUAAAGCGCACGUAGGCGGACCGCUAAGUCGGAUGUGAAAGCCCUCGGCUUAACCGAGGAAGUGCAUUCGAAACUGACGGUCUUGAGUAUGGAAGAGGGUCGCGGAAUUCCCGGUGUAGAGGUGAAAUUCGUAGAUAUACGGAGGAACACCAGAGGCGAAGGCGGAUCGCUGGGCCAACACUGACGCUGAUGUGCGAAAGCUAGGGGAGCAAACGGG